RNAcentral lists this ribosomal RNA (252 nucleotides) under uncultured prokaryote. RNAcentral describes it as "partial 16S ribosomal RNA". It matches the Rfam family "Bacterial small subunit ribosomal RNA", at positions 525 to 776 of the family's 1533-position model. The record is from RNAcentral.
ACGAAGGGGGCUAGCGUUGUUCGGAAUUACUGGGCGUAAAGCGCGCGUAGGCGGUGAUCCAUGUCAGAGGUGAAAUCCCGGGGCUCAACUCCGGAAUUGCCUUUGAAACGGGAUCGCUAGAGUCCGAGAGAGGAUGGCGGAAUUCCUAGUGUAGAGGUGAAAUUCGUAGAUAUUAGGAAGAACACCGGUGGCGAAGGCGGCCAUCUGGCUCGGUACUGACGCUCAGGCGCGAAAGCGUGGGGAGCAAACAGG